CUCCACACACACAGAGCCAGGUCCUCUGCUCUGGACCUGCGGACCACCGGCAGGUCGGCUCUAAUGAUUUCACAGCAGCAGAUUUAACAGAGGGUGGCUGCUCUGUGUCAGACGACCCCAGAGGGUUUAGAAAAGCUGACAGUCAAAACAUCGACAUAAAGAUUUGACCCUGAGAAAUCUCGAGGUGGAGACGGUUCAGGGACUGACUUCUCUAAAAGCAUUUUAACACCACAGAGGCUGCAACGCUGAAUAUUUGAAAGUGUGAGUAAUAAGUGUCUUGAUCCUGAAACGGAAUGUCAGCCAACAUCCAUAAGCCUGGAAUAUGAAACCGUCGGUCCUCCUGUGGGAAAAGAGAGAUGAGAGGCUUGGGGUCAAUCUGGGCUAAGCCCUGCUGGUGCCAGUGGACCCUCUGGUUCCCCGGACAGACCCUGCUGACAUCAGACUCAGAGCAGAAAAAACCUAGAAGACUAAAAGGACCGAGGCUGAGGAGGACACUUGAGAUGGAAAAAAAUACUAUAUGGUGGUUAACAGGUCCGUGACAUGGCUUGCUGCACAUCAUUGGUCUGAUUCACUGUGACCCCACAUGGCCUCAACCAUCUAUAAAACACAUUUUUCAUUGUGAAGAAUGUGGCUCCCUCUAGCCGUUAGGGUAGGUGUCACAACAGCAUUUCAAGUGACUUUAAUUUAAGGUGCUUUCUGUACAUUUUCACAGCAAUUUGCUCUUUGUUUGUUUUCCAUUUGUGAAAACUGAGUAAUGCAUUUGAUGUGACAUGCUCUUAACAAUGUGCCAUAUAAAUAUGCAUCAAUAAAAUAUGAUGGUAAUUGAUUUAACUGUAUUGAUAGAAACUGAAUUAUUAUGAAAGUACGUUUGUUCAAUAUGAAUACUGUAAAUGAAGCAAAAUGAAUGGCUGAUUUUCUAUAUACAAAUUUAAUAGAAAUACAUAAUGAGAUGUCAUAAUUUUAAAUUGCUGAAAGUGUGUUUUUGUCAGAUAGUAUAUUAGUAUGUGAAAACAAUACAAGUUUACAAAUCUGGUGGCAUGAUGAUAAACCCAUGCUGUAGGUUUGCUUACACAACAUGUAAACAAAGUAAAAACAUGUAAUUCAUGAAGGCUCUUCAAGAACAGUUGUCUUAAAGUCAGCGAACAGUUCCCUUUGACCAAGAUCAGAUAUCAUUUUUUUCAGUAAAAGUAAGUGCUUUCAUCUAAAAAGAUUAACUGGGAAAACACUCGGGCGUAACAUAUUUCAAACACUUUCUUUCUAAAUGUCCUGCUGCAAGAGCUCUUAAGAUGCUGUGGGAGUUAUAGGUCGAUCAUCUUAGCUAAUCUUAUUACAUUAGUAUUUCACAUAUUGCUUUUCAGUCAUUGACAUGAGCACCGUAUCACUGAAAAAAUGGAUGCCAACAAAUUUCACAUAACGGUGUAAGGUUAGUUGAAACCAAUAAUAUUAAGUUGAACCAACUUUUAGUUUUGAUGUAAACUUCAUAUUAUUGCUUCAAGCUGACAUGAUGCAGUAAUGUAAAAUCUGUUGACAUAAUACAUUAAAUUAAAGUAAACGUUUCAGUUUGUUCAGUGUAGGCUUUUCUCUUUCACAUACGCUUCAGUGUAAGUGUAUUUAUAAUGUUUAGAUGUGUUAAAAAAAUCUGCAGCAGGCUGUGUGUUAAUGAAGCAUGUUACAGCCUUGGUGGUGGUGAAGACACGGGAGUGAACUCAUGUGUUCUUGGCACUGACUAAGACGACUUGGAGGUCUCUUCUCCUCAUCUCUCUGGACAUCUGACACCAGCUGCAGGACGCACAAAAGGUGGCAAACACACAGUCCCUACACAUGGUGUCCUGCAGAGAAUACAGUUAGGUGAAAAUUAUGAUUUACAGACUGCAUCACUAAUUCUGAUUAUUCAUUCAGACACUUGGUUUACCCUACCUGUCUAAAGUCAAUUUUACCACCAUAACCCUGAGUGUUUUUUUGUUCUUUUACCAAAGGUUCCAAAAACCUUCAAAAAGUAACUUUCUAAGCCCAACUAUGAUUUCCUCCCAGCUCUGACCAAGGGGUUUUGUGUGUAGACCUUUAUUUUAUCAGUAGCAGUUAAAAAAAAAACACACAUCUUUCCUAACCCUUGAUGAAAUGGUUGUCUGUUGUACUGUUGAAAAUCUUGAAUAUCACUCCCAUAUUUUUCUUAACUUCCGGGACAUUUGCUAUACAAGUUUAAAUCAUGUAAUUUAACAUGUCUCCCUUGGUCUCCAUGAAAUAUAAAAGUUUUGUGGAUAGUGGUCAACAAAAAACAUGAGUAAAAAUCUAAUAUUUCUGCCCCCUGACACCAACAAAAGAGAAUCGUGUCUUACUUUGAUGCCGUAGCGCUGCCUCAUGGAGACCCUCAUGGACAUGGUGACGGGAGGGAUAAAACCAAACAUGUCCAACAGGGGGAGGCACAGACACUGCCCGUAUUUCUUGGUUGUUUUACAGGCGAAGCAGGGCAAGCACCAGAAAGCUAAACAACCUUUACCAGAAAUAAAAAAACAUACCACAUAAGCAACAGAUAAACACACCUAUUGCAAAAAUGCACCUGUGAGAUCCCAGAGACAAAGAAACACACAAAUAUGCAAACAAUCAUUUAAGAUACUAGUAAAUGAAGUAGGUCAACUAGUAGGUAGGUCAACUAUACCUUUCCUUUCUCAGAAAAAAUAUUUCAGGUUACAUUUUUUUAUAUAACAUUUGGCAGUGUAUUUUUGAUGUAAUUUCAUAAAACAUGGAUGAGUAACUAUCGGUAUUAUUCGGAAGUAUUUUUCGUGUUCAAAUCAACAAGAUUGGUUGGUUUGUUGCAAAUGACACAUUAAAUCAGUAUGGAAAUGAUUAAAUGUACCGUUAUCUUUUGUGUGUUUAUGUUGCAGUUCAUAUCAAAAUGUGAAAUUUUAACUAAUUUGAAAACUACAGAAUAAACAAUGAACAAAGACCUGUCCUUUAAG
This is a long non-coding RNA of Eleginops maclovinus (Patagonian blennie), 2957 nucleotides long. RefSeq lists it as uncharacterized. The transcript has 4 exons. The record is from RefSeq and is a predicted model, not a curated record. NCBI's taxonomy places the organism in Eukaryota, Metazoa, Chordata, Actinopteri, Perciformes, Eleginopidae.